Molecule: ribosomal RNA, 268 nt
Filed under: Clostridioides difficile
Lineage: Bacteria; Bacillati; Bacillota; Clostridia; Peptostreptococcales; Peptostreptococcaceae
Description: partial 16S ribosomal RNA
Rfam family: Bacterial small subunit ribosomal RNA
Source: RNAcentral
CCGCACAAGUAGCGGAGCAUGUGGUUUAAUUCGAAGCAACGCGAAGAACCUUACCUAAGCUUGACAUCCCAAUGACAUCUCCUUAAUCGGAGAGUUCCCUUCGGGGACGUUGGUGACAGGUGGUGCAUGGUUGUCGUCAGCUCGUGUCGUGAGAUGUUGGGUUAAGUCCCGCAACGAGCGCAACCCUUGUCUUUAGUUGCCAUCAUUAAGUUGGGCACUCUAGAGAGACUGCCAGGGAUAACCUGGAGGAAGGUGGGGAUGACGUCAA